CAAAAUCCACACCCCCCUCCGUCUUCCCCCUGGUUCCCUGCUGCACCCAGACUGGCAGUGCUCCCCCGGACACAAGCUUGGCCUGCCUCGUAACUGGCUAUUUACCAUCACCAGUGGACAUCACGUGGAAUUCUGGCAAAGUGACCCAGGGGGUCAAGAAUUUCCCAGAGGUGACGAUGAGCGACGGGCUCCACACCCGGAGCAGCCUGCUGAUCCUCCCUGACAGGUCCCGGCAGGGCGACACCUACCAGUGCGAUGUGACACCUCAAGGCACAGCAAAGACAGUGUCGAAGAAGUUCCCUCAGGAAUCGUGUGGGUCGACAACGCCCCCCCAGGUUCACCUGCUGGCCCCCACCUGCGAGGACAGCUCCACAGAGAGCCAGCUGGAGCUGGUUUGCCUCCUCUUGAGCUUCAAACCCGGCGAAGCCGACGUGAAAUGGCUGGUGAAUGGAAAGGAGAGCAGCCCCCCCACCCCGGCCUUUUCCUCUGCAAUGGGCACAGACGGCUUCUACAUGGGGCAGAGCCGCAUGAACGUCACCAAGCAGAGCUGGGAGAAGGGCGACGUCUACACCUGUCAAGUGACCCACCCAGCAGUGGGAACAGAGCUCUCCAUGCACAACACCAGCAAGUGCUUGGCCUGCCUCAGAAGCUCACUUGACCCAACCAUCUAUUUAACCAAACCCUCCUAUGAAGACAUCAUCAAAAGUUCUGGUCAUGUUACCUGUCUAUUUCUGGGUUAUGACUUAGCAGCCAGCAGAAUCACAUGGAAAGUGGAUGGGCAAGUCAGCUCUGCGGCGAAGACAGAACCCCUCAAGACGAACAGCAACGGGACCACCAGCCUGGUCAGUUCUCACCCUGUGUCGCUGGCACAAUGGGGACAAGGCACCAAAUUCACCUGUAAAGUGACCACACCCUGUUCUGGAGAGCUAACCCAGGACAUAACCAUGAGCAAUACAG
Non-coding RNA from Terrapene triunguis (Three-toed box turtle), 957 nucleotides. The record is from the annotation of a RefSeq genome assembly. NCBI's taxonomy places the organism in Eukaryota, Metazoa, Chordata, Testudines, Emydidae.